Molecule: long non-coding RNA, 681 nt
Organism: Carassius carassius (crucian carp)
Lineage: Eukaryota; Metazoa; Chordata; Actinopteri; Cypriniformes; Cyprinidae
Exons: 3
Source: RefSeq, a predicted model, not a curated record
UCUCUCCUUUAAUCUGCCUCUCUUUUUCUUUAUGUCUGUCUCAUUCUUAGUGUCUCUGUCUAUUGUUCAGGAUUUGUUGUGGGUAAUGGGCCAUCUGCCGACUGGUAUCUGCCAUUUGUAACAGCGGCUGAUGCCAAAGUGCUGGAGCAUUCUGGGAAAUUGCAGUAGCUACUGGAUAUUUUACGCUGGGCAGAGGAACUACAGGACAAAGUGUUAGUGUUUAUCCAGUCUCUGAUAUCGCUUGACCUUAAUGAGAGUUUCCUUCUGUAUGCAGAUGAGACCAGGGGGAAUAAAUGUUGUCCACAAAAAGGGGACGGUUGUUUCUGAUCUCCACUCGCAGGGGGUCUCUGGGAAUCAACCUGGUUGUGGUGUUUGACGCUUGCUGGAAUCCGUCAUAUGACAUCCAGAGCAUCUUCAGAGUCUAUCGCUUUGGGCAGAAAAAAAUUGUAUGUGUGUACCAUUUUCUAGCCCAGGUAUACAAACGACAGAUACUUGGGAGGAACUGAGAAGUCAAUUGUCAUUGUUAACCUGUUCAAGAAGAUUUUACUAUUGAGUAAAAAAUGUCUUAAUUUUUUUUGUUUAAGGUUUUAUUUUGUUUUUUCACAUACAUUUUUAUAGCUUUAACAAAAACUAUAUGGGAAACUAUUUUCUUGCGUUUUUAAUGUGGCGGUUUGUUUUGUA